CGAGGCGGACAAUGAGAGCUGAUCACAGAUCUCUGAGCGGAUGGGCAAUCUUUAUCACACGUAUAGCUCUUGCUUCAUCAGCUCAUCAUGUCAUAACUCCACCAUCACUCACCAUCCUGCCUGGACAAAUGGCAUACUUCAACUGCACUGUAGUGGAAAACAGCAAUUGUGAAGAAGUCAGCUUGUAUUGGCGUCAUAAGCGCCUGUUCCAGAAUGGCUCAGAAGGAGAUUCGAAAGAUAUUAAAAAUGGAGGGAGAUAUUCCAUUAUUUAUGGAGUUUUAUUCAGCUUUUUGCAAAUUAAAAAUGUGGUCUUCUCUGAUGAGGGGUUUUAUUUUUGCUCAAAUUUCUGCUUUGGAAAAAGGACCCGGAUUAUUGAACAGAAGUCACAGCUCUUGCUUGAAGCCCAGCCCCAGGUAAGCAUCACUUCUUCCAUAUCACUUGAUGCACCUGAUCUCCUGAUCCUGACCUGCAGCGCUGUGAGUUUCUACCCUUCUAAUGUGUUCUUCACCUGGAAUCUCACCUUUGUUGAAGUGCCCCACAUCAUCCAGCAGGGGUCACCCAAUCUCCUCCAGAAUGGCAGCUACAGCAGCAGCUCCACUCUAAAGAUCAGAACCUCCCAGUGGAGCUCAGAAGUGGUGAUUGAAUGUGUGGUGAAUCACAGUUCUCUGACUCAGUCACAGAUCAAAUACAUCAGACAUUCAGGUCCAUCUUCAGGUGUGGGUCUCUGUCAGCUGAAAAUGGUUCUGCUGUCUUUGGGUUUGGUGUUGAUGAUGUUGACUGUCAUGGGGGUACAUGUGAAGUCCUGCAAAGGAAACAGUUGAGUAUCCAGUCCAGGUCUGGAACUUAUAUCGGAAGAGGAAAGUGAGAUACCUCCAGUGGUCUAAAGGUGAAAGACAUUUUGAGGAAAGACUGAAGAAAAUCUGAGGACUGGAGUAAAAUGCAUUGGGAUACAAACAAUUAUAAUUUUGUGUAUUUUUUUAACCUAUAAACUGUGUACUUUUACAGAACACUUCCCUCUGUGCUUGCAAAAUGCUUAUUAUUUGUGCUAUGCAAGGUUUCUACAUAAAUAUUAU
This is an RNA transcript of Polypterus senegalus (gray bichir), 1073 nucleotides long. RefSeq lists it as uncharacterized. The record is from RefSeq and is a predicted model, not a curated record. Lineage: Eukaryota; Metazoa; Chordata; Cladistia; Polypteriformes; Polypteridae. The transcript has 5 exons.